RNAcentral lists this transfer RNA (85 nucleotides) under Nibricoccus aquaticus. RNAcentral's name for it is "tRNA-Leu". It matches the Rfam family "tRNA". Rfam says of the family: Transfer RNA (tRNA) molecules are approximately 80 nucleotides in length. The record is from RNAcentral. Lineage: Bacteria; Pseudomonadati; Verrucomicrobiota; Opitutia; Opitutales; Opitutaceae.
GCCCAGAUGGCGAAAUUGGCAGACGCGCUAGACUCAAAAUCUUGUUCCGAAAGGAGUGUCGGUUCGACCCCGACUCUGGGCACCA